AAGAAAGUAAGCAAGGGCAGACGGUGGAUGCCUUGGCUCUCGGAGGCGAUGAAGGACGUGAUAAGCUGCGAUAAGCUUGGGGUAGGUGCAAAUAACCUUUGAUCCCAAGAUUUCCGAAUGGGGCAACCCGGCUGGUAGAAGGCCAGUCAUUCCGUAAGGAAGGCGAACGUGGGGAACUGAAACAUCUAAGUACCCAUAGGAGAAGAAAACAAAAGUGAUUCCGCAAGUAGUGGCGAGCGAACGCGGAGUAGCCCAAACCGAUGAUGUUUAGGCAUUGUCGGGGUAGUAGGACCACGUUGUGGCAAGAGAUUAAUGAAGUAGAACGUUUUGGAACAAACGGCCGUAGACGGUGAAAGCCCGGUAUACGACUCUUUAACGAAGCCUAGUGGAAUCCUGAGUAGCGCGGAGCACGAGAAAUUCUGUGUGAAUCAGCGGGGCCCAUCCCGUAAGGCUAAAUACUCCCGAGAGACCGAUAGCGAACCAGUACUGUGAAGGAAAGGUGAAAAGCACCUCGAACAGAGGAGUGAAAUAGUCCCUGAAACCGUCUGCCUACAAGCGGUCGGAGCAACGUAAGUUGUGACGGCGUGCCUUUUGCAUAAUGAACCUACGAGUUACUUUCUCCGGCAAGGUUAAGGGCUUCAGGCCCGGAGCCGAAGCGAAAGCGAGUCUUAAUAGGGCGUGAUAGUCGGAGUGAGUAGACGCGAAACCAAGUGAUCUACCCUUGGUCAGGAUGAAGGUUGGGUAACACCAACUGGAGGUCCGAAUGGGUAUACGUUGAAAAGUGUUCCAAUGAACUGAGGGUAGGGGUGAAAGGCUAAUCAAACUUGGAGAUAGCUCGUACUCCCCGAAAUGCAUUUAGGUGCAGCCUUUAUUUAGUAUAGCAUGAGGUAGAGCGACUGAUUGGAUGCGAGGGCUUCACCGCCUAUCAAGUCCAGAUAAACUCCGAAUGCGUGCUAUAUAUUGAUAAGGAGUGAGGGCGCGGGUGCUAAGGUCCGCGUCCGAGAGGAGAAGAAUCCAGACCAUCAGCUAAGGUCCCCAAAUAACAGUUAAGUUGAACUAACGAAGUCGGACUGCAGAGACAGCUAGGAUGUUGGCUUGGAAGCAGCCAUUCAUUUAAAGAGUGCGUAACAGCUCACUAGUCGAGGAGUCCGGCGUGGAUAAUACUCGGGCAUAAACUGUUUACCGAAGCUAUGGAUGUAGAAAUACAUGGUAGGGGAGCAUUCCAACGGCGUCGAAGGUGAAGGAUGACCUUUGCUGGAGCUUUUGGAAACGCAAAUGUAGGUAUAAGUAACGAUAAAGGAGGUGAGAAACCUCCUCGCCGAAAGACUAAGGUUUCCUGAUCAACGUUAAUCGGAUCAGGGUAAGUCGGGACCUAAGGUUAAGCCGAACGGCGAUACCGAUGGAAGAAUGGUUUAAUAUUCCCAUACUACUUUAUGGAGCGAUGUGGAGACGGAGAAGUGAAAGUCCUGCCAUCUGACGGAAUAGGUGGUUGAAGAGUGUAGAUGUAGAUUCCUGUAGGCAAAUCCGCAGGGAGAGUCGACCUUGACAGUAUGCCGCGUGCUUGCACAAGGCAAAAUGGACGUAAUCAGGCUCCCAAGAAAAUCCGCUAAGCAUAUUCAUAAAGUACCCGUACCGUAAACGGACACACGUAGUUGGGUUGAAAAUACUGAGGCGCUCGAGUGAUUCACGGUUAAGGAACUAGGCAAAUUGACCCUGUAACUUCGGGAUAAAGGGUCCCUGCAGAGAUGUGGGGCGCAGAGAAUAGGUCCAGGCAACUGUUUAACAAAAACACAUGGCUGUGCGAAAUAGAAAUAUGAAGUAUACAGCCUGACACCUGCCCGGUGCUGGAAGGUUAAGAGGAGAUGUCAUCCUAAAGAGAAGCAUUGAAUUGAAGCCCCAGUAAACGGCGGCCGUAACUAUAACGGUCCUAAGGUAGCGAAAUUCCUUGUCGGGUAAGUUCCGACCUGCACGAAUGGUGUAAUGAUCUGGACACUGUCUCAACCGUGAGCUCGGUGAAAUUGUAGUAUCGGUGAAGAUGC
Molecule: ribosomal RNA, 2039 nt
Filed under: Parabacteroides sp.
Lineage: Bacteria; Pseudomonadati; Bacteroidota; Bacteroidia; Bacteroidales; Tannerellaceae
Description: partial 23S ribosomal RNA
Rfam family: Bacterial large subunit ribosomal RNA
Source: RNAcentral